This 497-nucleotide ribosomal RNA is filed under the name uncultured bacterium. Its description in RNAcentral is "partial 16S ribosomal RNA". It matches the Rfam family "Bacterial small subunit ribosomal RNA", at positions 28 to 507 of the family's 1533-position model. The record is from RNAcentral.
GAUGAACGCUGGCGGCGUGCCUAAUACAUGCAAGUCGAGCGAACAGACGAGGAGCUUGCUCCUCUGACGUUAGCGGCGGACGGGUGAGUAACACGUGGAUAACCUACCUAUAAGACUUGGAUAACUUCGGGAAACCGGAGCUAAUACCGGAUAAUAUAUUGAACCGCAUGGUUCAAUAUUGAAAGACGGUUUUGCUGUCACUUAUAGAUGGAUCCGCGCCGCAUUAGCUAGUUGGUAAGGUAACGGCUUACCAAGGCGACGAUGCGUAGCCGACCUGAGAGGGUGAUCGGCCACACUGGAACUGAGACACGGUCCAGACUCCUACGGGAGGCAGCAGUAGGGAAUCUUCCGCAAUGGGCGAAAGCCUGACGGAGCAAAGCCGCGUGAGUGAUGAAGGUCUUCGGAUCGUAAAACUCUGUUAUUAGGGAAGAACAAAUGUGUAAGUAACUAUGCACGUCUUGACGGUACCUAAUCAGAAAGCCACGGCUAACUACGUG